RNAcentral lists this ribosomal RNA (241 nucleotides) under uncultured bacterium. RNAcentral describes it as "partial 16S ribosomal RNA". It matches the Rfam family "Bacterial small subunit ribosomal RNA", at positions 15 to 265 of the family's 1533-position model. The record is from RNAcentral.
GAUCAUGGCUCAGGAUGAACGCUGGCGGCGUGCCUAACACAUGCAAGUCGAGCGAUUCUCUUCGGAGAAGAGCGGCGGACGGGUGAGUAACGCGUGGGUAACCUGCCCUGUACACACGGAUAACAUACCGAAAGGUAUGCUAAUACGGGAUAACAUAAGAAAUUCGCAUGUUUUUCUUAUCAAAGCUCCGGCGGUACAGGAUGGACCCGCGUCUGAUUAGCUAGUUGGUGAGGUAAUGGCU